Molecule: ribosomal RNA, 1358 nt
Filed under: Clavibacter michiganensis
Lineage: Bacteria; Bacillati; Actinomycetota; Actinomycetes; Micrococcales; Microbacteriaceae
Description: bacterial SSU rRNA
Rfam family: Bacterial small subunit ribosomal RNA
Source: RNAcentral
UGGAGAGUUUGAUCCUGGCUCAGGACGAACGCUGGCGGCGUGCUUAACACAUGCAAGUCGAACGGUGAUGUCAGAGCUUGCUCUGGCGGAUCAGUGGCGAACGGGUGAGUAACACGUGAGUAACCUGCCCCUGACUCUGGGAUAACUGCUAGAAAUGGUAGCUAAUACCGGAUAUGACGAUUGGCCGCAUGGUCUGGUCGUGGAAAGAAUUUCGGUUGGGGAUGGACUCGCGGCCUAUCAGGUUGUUGGUGAGGUAAUGGCUCACCAAGCCUACGACGGGUAGCCGGCCUGAGAGGGUGACCGGCCACACUGGGACUGAGACACGGCCCAGACUCCUACGGGAGGCAGCAGUGGGGAAUAUUGCACAAUGGGCGAAAGCCUGAUGCAGCAACGCCGCGUGAGGGAUGACGGCCUUCGGGUUGUAAACCUCUUUUAGUAGGGAAGAAGCGAAAGUGACGGUACCUGCAGAAAAAGCACCGGCUAACUACGUGCCAGCAGCCGCGGUAAUACGUAGGGUGCAAGCGUUGUCCGGAAUUAUUGGGCGUAAAGAGCUCGUAGGCGGUUUGUCGCGUCUGCUGUGAAAUCCCGAGGCUCAACCUCGGGUCUGCAGUGGGUACGGGCAGACUAGAGUGCGGUAGGGGAGAUUGGAAUUCCUGGUGUAGCGGUGGAAUGCGCAGAUAUCAGGAGGAACACCGAUGGCGAAGGCAGAUCUCUGGGCCGUAACUGACGCUGAGGAGCGAAAGCAUGGGGAGCGAACAGGAUUAGAUACCCUGGUAGUCCAUGCCGUAAACGUUGGGAACUAGAUGUGGGGACCAUUCCACGGUCUCCGUGUCGCAGCUAACGCAUUAAGUUCCCCGCCUGGGGAGUACGGCCGCAAGGCUAAAACUCAAAGGAAUUGACGGGGGCCCGCACAAGCGGCGGAGCAUGCGGAUUAAUUCGAUGCAACGCGAAGAACCUUACCAAGGCUUGACAUAUACCGGAAACGUGCAGAAAUGUGCGCCCCGCAAGGUCGGUAUACAGGUGGUGCAUGGUUGUCGUCAGCUCGUGUCGUGAGAUGUUGGGUUAAGUCCCGCAACGAGCGCAACCCUCGUUCUAUGUUGCCAGCACGUAAUGGUGGGAACUCAUAGGAGACUGCCGGGGUCAACUCGGAGGAAGGUGGGGAUGACGUCAAAUCAUCAUGCCCCUUAUGUCUUGGGCUUCACGCAUGCUACAAUGGCCGGUACAAAGGGCUGCGAUACCGUAAGGUGGAGCGAAUCCCAAAAAGCCGGUCUCAGUUCGGAUUGAGGUCUGCAACUCGACCUCAUGAAGUCGGAGUCGCUAGUAAUCGCAGAUCAGCAACGCUGCGGUGAAUACGUUCC